This 253-nucleotide ribosomal RNA is filed under the name uncultured bacterium. RNAcentral describes it as "partial 16S ribosomal RNA". It matches the Rfam family "Bacterial small subunit ribosomal RNA", at positions 524 to 776 of the family's 1533-position model. The record is from RNAcentral.
UACGUAGGUGGCAAGCGUUGUCCGGCAUUAUUGGGCGUAAAGCGCGCGCAGGUGGUUUCUUAAGUCUGAUGUGAAAGCCCACGGCUCAACCGUGGAGGGUCAUUGGAAACUGGGGAACUUGAGUGCAGGAGAGAAGAGUGGAAUUCCACGUGUAGCGGUGAAAUGCGUAGAGAUGUGGAGGAACACCAGUGGCGAAGGCGACUCUUUGGCCUGUAACUGACACUGAGGCGCGAAAGCGUGGGGAGCAAACAGG